UGAGUAACCUGCCCUUAACUCUGGGAUAAGCCUGGGAAACUGGGUCUAAUACCGGAUAUGACUCCUCAUCGCAUGGUGGGGGGUGGAAAGCUUUUGUGGUUUUGGAUGGACUCGCGGCCUAUCAGCUUGUUGGUGAGGUAAUAGCUCACCAAGGCGAUGACGGGUAGCCGGCCUGAGAGGGUGACCGGCCACACUGGGACUGAGACACGGCCCAGACUCCGUACGGGAGCAG
RNAcentral lists this ribosomal RNA (232 nucleotides) under uncultured bacterium. Its description in RNAcentral is "partial 16S ribosomal RNA". It matches the Rfam family "Bacterial small subunit ribosomal RNA", at positions 118 to 347 of the family's 1533-position model. The record is from RNAcentral.